GGUUCUGGGAAAAAAGAAAUCAUUAGAAAAAGAUUUCUGCCCUCUAGAAGUACACAGUCUAAUGAUGAGAUAGUCAGUUAUUAAUGGCUCUCCUACUAGGAGCCUGACAUCAUGGUGAGCAUCGAGAAAGGAAUAACCUAAGCUGAAGACAUGCCUUUUCUAUAGGAGGCAAAGUUCCACGUUCUGUGAAUGCCUUUGGCGAAAGUCAGGCUGUGGCUUGCCUUUUCACUUCUUGUGUCCUGUUUAAGAAAUAUCUGCUAUCCCAAGCAUCUGGCAUCUUUCUUGACAUACGUAGCAGUUGCUUUUUGACAGCUUGCUUCUGGAGUGAAUGAAUAAAUUAAUAAAUUUAUUCAUUUGAUAUUCAGUGACAUGUGAUAUUCAGUGAUCCAUUUUGCAGAUAACACUAACAAAGUUGACCUUAGAAUUGGAGUGCCCGGGUUAGAACCUUGCUGGUACCACCUGCUUACUGCAUGCUUCUGAUGUGAGUUCAGGAGAAGCCACUGGCAAGGACAGCAAAGAACAGGAGAACACUCUAGCUUCCCUGAUAGCAUUCAAGGUGCUGUCCAAAGCUCUUGAGUUUCUGCUUUCAAGUGACCCUCAGAAAUGCCCCCAUUCACUGCAGAGGUUCUGUUUCUCCUUGUUUUGUUCCGACUUUAUGGCAGAACUAGGUUAAUGAGUUAAUUACUAUGAGUUAUCACUUGGAUUUGAAGAACCAUCAUUUCUAGGCUUUGCUGCUCAGAGUGGGUUUGCCCUCAGGGGAAGCUAUCUAACCAGAGCCUAACCCACUAGGGUUUUAUCAGAACCUAACUGGCCUGAGGAAAAGAAAUAUUCAACUCCAGCAAGCUCCAGCCUUCCAAACGGAGGAGGAGAAAACCCAAAUCCAGCCCACUUCAGCUAUCUUGUCCCACAUAAAGGGGGAGUGGAAGAAACGUGAGAAGCAGGCAUGAAGUUCACAGUCCGGAGAUGACAUGAUUGUCUAUGCAAAAAA
This 988-nucleotide long non-coding RNA is filed under the name Pongo abelii (Sumatran orangutan). Its description in RNAcentral is "lincRNA". The record is from RNAcentral. Lineage: Eukaryota; Metazoa; Chordata; Mammalia; Primates; Hominidae.